Molecule: long non-coding RNA, 1156 nt
Organism: Pleuronectes platessa (European plaice)
Lineage: Eukaryota; Metazoa; Chordata; Actinopteri; Pleuronectiformes; Pleuronectidae
Exons: 3
Source: RefSeq, a predicted model, not a curated record
UAAAAACCCUAUUUGUAAACAACCAGUCCUUUAACUAAGCGCUACGUCAUAAACACGGCGCGCUUGGAAGACCACGAUGUCAUCUUCCUUCUGUCAGGAGGAUCCCAGUGAAGCUACAGGAGUUUCAUUAACGUCAACAACUUGGACCGAACGGUUUGUUUUGCUUAAUGAAGAGCAGGAAGGGCAGCCUGGAGAGAAAGAGAAGCCGGGUUGAGCCCACUACCAUCAUCCACAUACCACGAGGAAGAUGAGGGAGAGAAAUGAUCCUACCAUUAAAGAGACUGUGAAAAGAACGUUGAGAACAUCACCACUCUACAGGAAGACACAGUCCAGUAAUGGGUGUCAGAAUUUCAGUAGUGAACGACAGGUACUGUGGAAAAAUGUGUGUCAUUGUUGUACAAUGUCCUUUGACUCUGUUUACACAAGGUUAACACAAAAAGGUUUGAUUGUAAACUGAUAUUGGUAUGAAUUCAUGUUAUUCUCCUCUUCACAAGAAACAAACAAUCCAAAUUACCUGCAGAAAGCCCUUGAUGGACGCUUCAGCUGCAUCGUCAGACUGGCCAGACAGCAAGAUGCCAACUUUAAUGCCAAUUUAUUUGUGUAACAUUCUGUGACCAAAUGUAUAGAUAACUUUUUGUAGAUUGUUAAAAAGAUAACCCAUUUAUUAAAAAAAAACUACACUAGAAUUACCGCACUGCGUUGUAUGACUCCGCUAACCAGUGCAAUGUCCGUCUACAUAUUUCUACAUAUUUUCUCUCGUAUAAAUGACACUGUGUCUCUUGACAACUGAAACCAUAAGAUGAGGUCAGUGUGGCCUUGACCUUUUGACUUUAACACAAAUACACAGUUAGACAAUCCGAAAACAUACAGUUAUGCCAAAAUAUAUUUUGUUUCACAUUCUAGAUGGCAUAAGCAGAGACAUCAACUCAGGAAAAAUAUUUCUGUAGAAAAGAAAGCCCUGUACGUGUGUACGUAUGUAUACAUACACACGUACAAACGCACUAUUGAGACGUUUUGUUUUUUAUCAUAUAUUCUCAGGAAGGACUGAUGCAUUUACUGAGACGGGACGUGAGGGCCUACUCUGCGUGCUCAGAGUUCAAGCCCAGCAGGCUGCAGCGGUCCUGACAUAUUCCGGAACAGCAGCACAGUCUUUGGA